This 933-nucleotide small RNA is filed under the name Pongo abelii (Sumatran orangutan). RNAcentral's name for it is "processed transcript". Lineage: Eukaryota; Metazoa; Chordata; Mammalia; Primates; Hominidae. The record is from RNAcentral.
GGGAAGGAGGGGGAGGAGAGAAGAGGAGGUGGAAAAGGCUUGGGCUCGCGCCGCUGAAGUCAGCUUACCCGCUGGCCGCCUCCUGACAAGCGGGAGGGAUCCGCCGUGGACCCAGGGAAGCGGAGGAGCCUGGCGGCCACCCCCUCUUCCCCACUUCCCUGCACUCUCAUCGCUCUCGGCCUCGGCCUCGGCCUCCGACACGAAAAGGAACCAAAUGAGCUGAUGGAAGAUCUGUUUGAAACUUUCCAAGAUGAGAUGGGAUUCUCCAACAUGGAAGAUGAUGGCCCAGAAGAGGAGGAGCGUGUGGCUGAGCCUCAACCUAACACCCCUCAAGCUCUACGGUUUGAGGAACUACUGGCCAACCUACUAAAUGAACAACAUCAGAUAGCGAAGGAACUAUUUGAACAGCUGAAGAUGAAGAAAUCUUCAGCCAAACAGCAGAAGGAGGUAGAGAAGGUUAAACCCCAGUGUAAGGAAGUUCAUCAGACCCUGAUUCUGGACCCAGCACAGAGGAAGAGACUCCAGCAGCAGAUGCAGCAGCAUGUUCAGCUCUUGACGCAAAUCCACCUUCUUGCCACCUGCAACCCCAAUCUCAAUCCGGAGGCCAGUAGCACCAGGAUAUGUCUUGGUCUUGCUCUUUCACCCAGGAUGGAGUGCGGUGGCACAGUUUCAGUUCACUGCAACCCCUGCCUCCUGGGUUCAAGUGAUUCUCCUGCCUCAGCCUUCCAAGUAGCUGGGACUACAGGCAGGCACCACCACGGAAAGAGCUGGGAACCUUUGCACAAAGCUCCAUCGCCCUUCACCAUCAGUACAACCCCAAGUUUCAGACCCUGUUCCAACCCUGUAACUUGAUGGGAGCUAUGCAGCUUAUUGAAGACUUCAGCACACAUGUCAGCAUUGACUGCAGCCCUCAUAAAACUGUCAAGAAGACUG